Molecule: long non-coding RNA, 672 nt
Organism: Mirounga angustirostris (Northern elephant seal)
Lineage: Eukaryota; Metazoa; Chordata; Mammalia; Carnivora; Phocidae
Exons: 2
Source: RefSeq, a predicted model, not a curated record
AUAGCUGCCCCAGGAGCCCUCUGGCCCCUGCUCGUGGCUUCUCCUGUUUCAAUUUCCAUGUCCUCUCCGUUUUGUAACUCAAGGAGCUCCCCGGCUUAGGAACAGCUGACAAGCCGGCCAGCUCCCCGGCCGUGGCACCUGGGAAGGGGCGAGGGGCAGGGCCUUGCAGGCAUGCUCGGGACACCCUGGCCCCGGCGGCCCUGACGCCCUGGACGGUGAGCAAGGAUGGGUGCUGGGGGGCAGGACUUCGGCUGCUGGACCCAAAGCAUCUGGCAAGGCCAUUCAACACCUGGCGUGGAGGGAGCCCAAAGGGCCAUCAGAGCGAAACAUGCCAACUGCGAAGUGGCUGGCAAUGCUGGUGUUGGUGGCCGAGCCAAUAAAUCCCAAGGCUCUGAUUUAUCCUCUCUCUGAGUGCUGGAGUGGACAUUUCUGAGAACGCCCCUGAAAGGUGACAGCAUGGACCAAGCUGCUCCCAGCUUUGGGCUUGGAGGGGCAUCUUUCCUCAGAGCUCUGGAAUGCCGUGCAUUUGUUUAUCUCGGGCAGUGUGUGUGCCCGCCCACCCUAUCUACCUCCGCUUUCUCCUGAGCUCAGCAUGCCAUUGGCAUUUAAUAAAUGUUAAAAAAUAGCAACAUCUGAGCCACUGACCUUCACAUAAAGGCCUUUGAGACCAUU